AGUGAACGCUGGCGGCGUGCCUAAUACAUGCAAGUCGAACGGAAUUUAAAAGAGCUUGCUCUUUUAAAUUUAGUGGCGCACGGGCGAGUAAUAUAUAGCUAAUCUGCCCCUUGCUGGAGGACAACAGUUAGAAAUGACUGCUAAUACUCCAUACUCCUUUUUACCAUAAGAUAAAUCGGGAAAGAAUUUCGGCAAGGGAUGAGACUAUAUCGUAUCAGCUAGUCGGUGGGGUAACGGCCUACCGAGGCUAUGACGCGUAACUGGUCUGAGAGGAUGAUCAGUCACAUUGGAACUGAGACACGGUCCAAACUCCUACGGGAGGCAGCAGUAGGGAAUAUUGCGCAAUGGGGGAAACCCUGACGCAGCAACGCCGCGUGGAGGAUGACACUUUUCGGAGCGUAAACUCCUUUUGUUAGGGAAGAAUAAGA
This 428-nucleotide ribosomal RNA is filed under the name Campylobacter gracilis. RNAcentral describes it as "bacterial SSU rRNA". It matches the Rfam family "Bacterial small subunit ribosomal RNA", at positions 29 to 454 of the family's 1533-position model. The record is from RNAcentral. Lineage: Bacteria; Pseudomonadati; Campylobacterota; Epsilonproteobacteria; Campylobacterales; Campylobacteraceae.